RNAcentral lists this non-coding RNA (23 nucleotides) under Arabidopsis thaliana (thale cress). Lineage: Eukaryota; Viridiplantae; Streptophyta; Magnoliopsida; Brassicales; Brassicaceae. The record is from RNAcentral.
CUCGGCAACGGAUAUCUCGGCUC